Molecule: non-coding RNA, 196 nt
Organism: Oryza brachyantha (malo sina)
Lineage: Eukaryota; Viridiplantae; Streptophyta; Magnoliopsida; Poales; Poaceae
Source: Rfam
UUUAUUUUUCCGUACCCAACAUUUGACCAUUCGUUUUAUUUGAAAUUUUUUUGCGAUUAAUAUUUUUAUUAUUACUAGAUGAUAAAAUAUGAAUAGCAAUUUAUACGUAACUAAUUUUUUUAAGUUUUUUUAUAAAUUUUUUAAAUAAGACGAAUGGUCAAACGUUGGAUACGGAAAAACGAAAAAUAAACUUAUU